GAGAGUAGGCGCAGGCGGUUGCAGAUCAGUCAUAGUCACUGGUUUGAGGAAAGUCCGGACUCCCGAAAGACCAAACUUGCUGGAUAACGUCCAGUGCGAGCGAUCGUGAGGAUAGUGCCACAGAAAGAUACCGCCAAAACUAGGGACUGGGGACUAGGGACUAGGGACUGGGAAGAAUUUUCCUAAUCCCCAAUCCCUAAUCCCCAAUCCCCAACUUGGUAAGGGUGCAAAGGUGCGGUAAGAGCGCACCAGCAGUAUCGAGAGGUGCUGGCUCGGUAAACCCCGGUUGGGAGCAAGGCGAUAGGAACUACGGUUGGUCUUUUACCAGUUCCGCUCAAUGAGAGCCGCUAGAGGCGUUUGGUAACAAACGUCCCAGAUAGAUAACUGCCCUCGCAAGAGAACAGAACCCGGCUUAUGUCCUGCUCUCUCCC
Molecule: RNase P RNA, 431 nt
Filed under: Nostoc sp.
Lineage: Bacteria; Bacillati; Cyanobacteriota; Cyanophyceae; Nostocales; Nostocaceae
Also listed under: 1 other name
Description: RNase P RNA component class A
Rfam family: Bacterial RNase P class A
About the family: Ribonuclease P (RNase P) is a ubiquitous endoribonuclease, found in archaea, bacteria and eukarya as well as chloroplasts and mitochondria.
Source: RNAcentral